AAUACCAGUAAGGAAACUUCGACCGCUGGAUCGGUCGAGUUAAUCUCUUUGGACUUCGCGAGCCGGUGGACGGAACGUGGGAGUGGCUAUUGUCGAGGCUAACGAACGCGAGUUCUCGUCGAUUACGGUAGUUAGGAUGUUACUAGUUCUUGUGAUCAAGCGGAUAGUUUCGCUUGUUCGAGUUUCGAAAUACCGAAGACCGUUGUAUCGCUAUGGCUGAAUUUUUACCUUUAUCGCGUCUAUAAUGCGUGCGUUGUAUGUCGAGUAUAUCAGCAGUUAAAUUGUACAUCGUUUUAUCGAUUAUUGAUAUUGUUUUCAUCUGUUCGACAUACAUUAUUAUAUAUUAAUGUAUGAAUUCUUGCCUAUACGAUUUUGAAAGAAUAGUUUCUAGUUAGAUAAUUAACUCCUGCGACAUAUAUCCGAGCAUUAUAUCGAAUACGAAUCAUACAAGUGUGUUAUAAACAACGAACAUCUCAUUGCUCGUGAAACAACGUACUUGACAUUUCCUCCGUGCAUGGUUGAAACACGGACACCAGAAUGUUCGUGCUGUGUAGAAAAAUGGCGGGCUUAAUUUCAAUUUGACUCGUUGUGCGCGCGUUGAAAGCUCGCGUGAUUCUGGCACGUUCGUCGACACCGAUAGCGGAGAGAGCAGUGUUUAUCGCGAUUCUGGUUAUCGAUUCGGUGAUAGCCGAGCCGAGAGUUCCUUGAUCCCCUCCCCUUGCUCGAAACUCGCGAGAAAAACGGGUCCUCGACCGAGUCACGUGACGCACGCAUCUUUGGUAAACUGAACUCUUUCAAAAGGAGUGACACCUCUCGAAAACACUUGAUCGACAAAUUGAAAAGAGAUAGGCGCAAUAAAAAGGAAGUGCGCAGUCAACGAGACGCAUUUCGGGAGGUGGACACUCGAGGAAGAAUAGCAGAUUAGAAUGGCGGCCAUUGUGAGCUGUAAUAUCCGGCGAGACCAUGAAAGGAGCGGAUUACAGAAAUUCAUUUGCCUCUGAAUAACCGCGGUACGUGUGUCGUCCCUGCAGAAUAAACACCGGCAAUUUAAGCUCGACGAGCCUCGCUAAUACCCCGCGCGUCGAAUCGCGAUUCAUAUAAAAGUGGACUUUCGCGUAUCAGACACGGUCUAAUAACGGAAUCGUACUACCGGAUAGGUGGAAAAAUGAAAUUCAACUUGCGAAUGACAUUUGCCUAGAGGAUGGGAAUUCGGAUCAAUGCGUCGCAAUAGCGAUCGAGCUUUGUAAAGGAAUACUUGUAAAAUGAGAAUGAAGUACAAAUGCAGAGAGAAAGAAUUAAUUCUAUUAGAAGAUUGUAAAAAGAGAAACGAGCUUCGUUUCUUUCUCUUCUCUUCAUCAAAAAAAAAUGAGGAUUAAAAUAUAAUUUCCUUUCAAGCUUGCGAAUACGUUAAUUUCAAUGAAAAUAUUCCAAGUUAUUCAACAGCAUUCCAACAAAUUACGUAUAUUUCUUCGUAUCUUUAUGAAAAAUGAACCGAAACUGCAUUUCUUCCAAGGAUGGCGUGGGACGGAACGUAGAACACGGAAGGAAAGGAUUCGAUCGAACGAAAGUUUCGCGGCGAAUUAAUUAACCAGGUUGUCAUUGACACGAAGGCAAAUGGCGCAAAGACGUAUGCGUGGCGAGAGAGCGAUCAGGGUUGCGAGAUGUGCGGCGCAGGGUCAGGUUCGGAGCCUCGUGACACGGGACCUGCUCGUGCCGCUAAUAAUCGGUUUAUACACAAUGAAACGAUGACGAGGUUACAGGCUUAUUAAGGUUAAUUUCGCAGGGCUGUGCGGUGUCACGAACAGAUCGGCCUCACGUAUUCCAUUAACCACUUUUAACGUGGCCGUACCACGACGAGAAAGUGAUUCCCUCGAGCUACACGCGAGAUACAACCGAGCUUGGAAUUUUCUUCGAUCGAUGGAAUAGAGUAUUAUUAUAUAAUUUCUGAGUAUUUUGUUUGAUGAUAAUCGUAUUUUCAUUUUUUUUUUUUUUUUGAAUAACGAUAACGUAAAGGAUGCAAAGUUAUCGAUUUGUGGAAUUUUUAUACAAAGUAUAUGGUAAUGUUUUUUUUUUUUUUUUUUAUUUUCCUCCAUGGAAGAAGAGGUAGAGGAGGUAUCUCUCAUCUCGCUAAAUGGACUUCUGGAAUUUUCGAGUAAUAUGUUUUAUAAUAUUUCAUUAUUUUUCUCGAUGAAUCAAGCAAGUGGAAAUAUACAUUUGCGUAUUUAUUCCGUUUUAUUGUCACAGAAUUUCAAUUUUUAUACUCUUAUGUUAUUUCAUGCUGUUGUUGUUAUUAUUAUUAUUAUUAUUAUUAUAACAUUUUAUUUGCUUAAUACUUGCUUAGAGAAAAAAAAUGAAAAAUAGAAAUUAUUUUAUAUUUCCAUAACCAGAAAGAAUAUAAUCCUCCCAUGAAAUAAUUCCUCUAACAAUAGAUGCAUAACAGAGUCGAAUAAAUAAUUUAAGAAACGAGGGGAUAUCUUGAAACAGAAUAAAGUUAAAAAAUCUCUAAUUUAUUUCUAGCUAUAUAUAAUCGAUCGAUUUUUAUAUAAAAAAGUUAUAUAUAUAAGUUGAUACUACAAUUAUUUGCGAUUAUUAUUACGUUUUGAAAAAUAAAUUUAUCGGAGUAAUUUUAUUCCACAA
Long non-coding RNA from Apis cerana (Asiatic honeybee), 2637 nucleotides. RefSeq lists it as uncharacterized. The record is from RefSeq and is a predicted model, not a curated record. NCBI's taxonomy places the organism in Eukaryota, Metazoa, Arthropoda, Insecta, Hymenoptera, Apidae.